CGUCCUCGGACCUGCGGGUCUCCGAGCGGGCUCCUGGUCGCCCACCCCGGGGCGCCGGCCCCCGCUCUCCGCCUGCUCCCGUGGCCAUUGCGCCCGCUCUGGAGUAACACGUAUGCUACUUCGGGCGACUGUUGUCUUUGCAGGCCAGAGCCAUGUGGUUGUGCAGAAGUGCUGCGCCUUCCACGCCGCGGGUGUCGGGCUUUUUAGUAAGAUAGACCGGGCAGAACCGCCCCAACUCCACCAGGACGCGUGCGUCCCCUGCUCGGUCCUCCCCGCUCCGUUCCUCCUCUCUCCAGGAGGCGUUUGCCUGAGUUUACCCCUUAGAGCUCACGUUCCUGCCUGCUUUACUCCACCCCAGCUGGGCUUUCCCCAAUUGGCAGAUUGCUACUCUGGCUUUACUCUUGGGUGGUGCUGCCAUCAUUCUCAUUGCAUUCCUGGUGGGUUUGAUUUCUAUCUGCGUGGGAUCUCGAAGACGCUUCUACAGACCUGUUGCUGUCAUGCUUUUUGCAGCAGUUGUUUUACAGGUUUGCAGCCUGGUCCUUUACCCAAUCAAGUUCAUUGAAACUGUGAGCUUGAAAAUUUACCAUGAGUUCAAUUGGGGUUAUGGCCUGGCCUGGGGUGCAACUAUAUUUUCGUUUGGGGGUGCCAUCCUUUAUUGCCUGAACCCUAAGAACUAUGAAGAUUACUACUAGAACCAAUAGUCUCAGAUUUGGGGG
RNAcentral lists this long non-coding RNA (716 nucleotides) under Oryctolagus cuniculus (rabbit). RNAcentral's name for it is "lncRNA (ENSOCUG00000012786.3)". The record is from RNAcentral. Lineage: Eukaryota; Metazoa; Chordata; Mammalia; Lagomorpha; Leporidae.